GCUAUUUCAAUGAUUCGAGGGCGCUUUAUCUCGGGGGGUCGCUAGGACCAAAAAAAAGAACAGAUACAGGGGUAACCAGUCGGACACAACUGGAUAUUCUUGGCGGAACCUGGCUAGGACUACCUAACUACUCAAAACCAGAUUAUGCUACACAGGAAGUUGGAGAAGCACCCGCAACCUCCACACUAACGGUCGCUUCCUAAACAUCUCUCCGCCAAUCCCACUGCCACGCGCCGACCCUUGUACGCCAAACUCUCCUCUAAGCAACGACCCGCAAGUCGACGACCCUCCAGCUGGUUGUGGGCGAGGAGGCUACCUUUGGCGGCGUCGCGGUCGCGGUGCGCAGGUCCGCGAGCGGCUGCGGCCGCAUGGGGCGGACGGCCGCGUCAUGUAGGUCGGUGGGCUGGAGGCGCGCCCGGGGAGGGAGAGCUGGAGGGACUGAGGGAGAGCCGGGGCAGCACCUGACGAGCCUGCGGCGACGAUGGUGUUGGCCGCGCCAGCCGGCGCGCACGCGGCUCACCCCGCGGAAAGUGCAGCAGUUGGUGCCCAAGGGCGGCCCCGACGAGCUGCGGUACGCCCGGCAGCCCAACCGGAAGAAGACGCGCGGGUACCGCCUCUUCGAGGACAAGGCGCUUGAACGGGCCACCGGGCUGAAGCAGGGGCCUAUGUCUUUAGACCGAUGACAAACGACGGUUGAUAACACCAUUGACCAUGUGUAUUUCGGUGUAUUACAUAGCUCAAUAAUACAAAUCUAUCGUACCUACGGACACUUGAAACCAACUUUUCGAUUUAAGAAACACAACGGGUACGUUAGGAGAGCUUGAAUGUUCCUGGCCCAAAACGUAACUUCCACUCGUAUGCUUGUAGGAAUCAUCAUUAUAUUUAAUUCAUCUACCAAAUCAUAAAGUCAUAAAGUACCAAGAGAUAGAAUAUUUCCUGAACACAUACACACCGGGAACCACGAUGUCUUAAUGAAUACAACUAACAGC
This 989-nucleotide ribosomal RNA is filed under the name Triticum aestivum (bread wheat). RNAcentral describes it as "partial small subunit ribosomal RNA". The record is from RNAcentral. Lineage: Eukaryota; Viridiplantae; Streptophyta; Magnoliopsida; Poales; Poaceae.